GUAGGUUAAUGGGAUGUUGGCAGGCCCUUCUCCAUGGGCCUCUCACAGUGGACCCAUGCCAGAGUAACCGCAGCCUCGAACCAUGUCCAGCCCCUCGCCCGUGGGCUGUGAGCACUAAAGCGGAUUGUACAGUG
Molecule: small nucleolar RNA, 134 nt
Organism: Pteropus vampyrus (large flying fox)
Lineage: Eukaryota; Metazoa; Chordata; Mammalia; Chiroptera; Pteropodidae
Source: Ensembl